RNAcentral lists this long non-coding RNA (630 nucleotides) under Mus musculus (house mouse). Its description in RNAcentral is "RIKEN cDNA 4833405L11 gene". Lineage: Eukaryota; Metazoa; Chordata; Mammalia; Rodentia; Muridae. The record is from RNAcentral.
AUCGGAACUCUGUGUCCUCUGCAACAUGACCCAGAAUUGACGCUGUUAGUUUCAGAUUGCUGACAUCUGGGACAACCUCCUGGUCCCAUGUGCCCCACGGAGCUACACAAUGUGUUUCUGAGAAUGGAAGUGAGCAGAGAUGAUGUGCAGCAGCUCCUGGCAAGGCUUUGGAAGAAAGCCUGGAGUGAAGACAUGACCCGACCUCUAAAGGAGUUAGCCCCACCGCACAAGAAUGGCAGGACCACACAGACCGAACAAGAUGUCCCUCGGAGAUUCAGUGUCGGUGACUGAUGCCUCACAUGGCAGCAGCAGAUCCACCCUGCCUCCAGGCACGGAGGAUAGACUGACUCACAGGAGAGUGGUGGUAUCUGCUGGAUCCCCAAGAUUUCACCAGCUUCUGAGAGCAGCUGGAUAACUAGAGUAACUAGAGUGUCUCCCAUUCCUUAGAAUAGGUUUUGUCUUCCCAAACAGUAAUCAUGCAUUCCUACCUGACCAUGGGAUUUUUGCACCCAGAAACUAAAGCAGUUGAGUCCUACAAGAACUCAUCAGGAAGGCAGUAGGCAGGCUGUGCAUCCAGCCAGCCAUGUUGGGCCUCCAGAGAUAAAUGCGAACUGACAUUCUUCUACAGUU